Molecule: ribosomal RNA, 462 nt
Filed under: uncultured bacterium
Lineage: Bacteria
Description: partial 16S ribosomal RNA
Rfam family: Bacterial small subunit ribosomal RNA
Source: RNAcentral
GAUGAACGCUGACAGAAUGCUUAACACAUGCAAGUCUUUGGGGAAGCUGUGCUUGCAGAGCCUAGCUAAGGCGGACGGGUGAGUAACGCGUAAGGAACUUGCUCUGCAGGCAGGGAUAACAGACGGAAACGACUGAUAAGACUAGGGAAAGUCAGGCGGAGUCAUGUGGAGGCUGAUGGAAAGAGAUGCUGGAGGAGGGCCUUGCUUCGUAUUAGCUUGUUGGUGGGGUAGCGGCCCAUCAAGGCGAUGGUGGGUGGGCGGCGUGAGAGGGUGGACGGCCACAAGGCGACUGAGAUACGGCCCCUACUCCUACAGGCAGCAGCGGUGAAGAAUAUUGGACAAUCGGGGCAACCCUGAUCCAGCACUGCUGUGUGCACGAUGAAGGUUUUCGGAUAGUACAGUUCUUUCUGCAAGGAAGAAAAAAUGACGGUACCGGCAGAAGAAGCGACGGCUAAAUACGUG